Molecule: ribosomal RNA, 259 nt
Filed under: uncultured bacterium
Lineage: Bacteria
Description: partial 16S ribosomal RNA
Rfam family: Bacterial small subunit ribosomal RNA
Source: RNAcentral
GNGUAAAGGCUCACCAAGCCGACGAUCUGUAGCUGGUCUGAGAGGACGACCAGCCACACUGGGACUGAGACACGGCCCAGACUCCUACGGGAGGCAGCAGUGGGGAAUUUUGGACAAUGGGCGCAAGCCUGAUCCAGCAAUGCCGCGUGCAGGAUGAAGGCCUUCGGGUUGUAAACUGCUUUGUACGGAACGAAACGGUGAGCUCUAAUACAGUUUGCUAAUGACGGUACCGUAAGAAUAAGCACCGGCUAACUACGUG